CCUACGGGUGGCAGCAGUGGGGAAUAUUGGACAAUGGGGGGAACCCUGAUCCAGCCAUGCCGCGUGUGUGAAGAAGGCCCUCGGGUUGUAAAGCACUUUCAGUGAGGAAGAACGCCUGGUGGUUAAUACCCAUCAGGAAAGACAUCACUCACAGAAGAAGCACCGGCUAACUCCGUGCCAGCAGCCGCGGUAAUACGGAGGGUGCGAGCGUUAAUCGGAAUUACUGGGCGUAAAGCGCGCGUAGGUGGCUUGAUAAGCCGGUUGUGAAAGCCCCGGGCUCAACCUGGGAACGGCAUCCGGAACUGUCAAGCUGGAGUGCAGGAGAGGAAGGUAGAAUUCCCGGUGUAGCGGUGAAAUGCGUAGAGAUCGGGAGGAAUACCAGUGGCGAAGGCGGCCUUCUGGACUGACACUGUCAAUGAGGUGCGAAAGCGUGGGUAGCAAACAGGAUUAGAUACCCUAGUAGUC
Molecule: ribosomal RNA, 465 nt
Filed under: Vreelandella stevensii
Lineage: Bacteria; Pseudomonadati; Pseudomonadota; Gammaproteobacteria; Oceanospirillales; Halomonadaceae
Description: partial 16S ribosomal RNA
Rfam family: Bacterial small subunit ribosomal RNA
Source: RNAcentral